UACGGGGGGGGCAAGCGUUGUUCGGAAUUACUGGGCGUAAAGGGUUCGUAGGUGGCCUGCUAAGUCAGACGUGAAAUCCCUCGGCUUAACCGGGGAACUGCGUCUGAGACUGGAAGGCUUGAGUGCAGGAGAGGAACGCGGAAUUCCAGGUGUAGCGGUGAAAUGCGUAGAUAUCUGGAGGAACACCGGUGGCGAAGGCGGCGUUCUGGACUGUUACUGACACUGAGGAACGAAAGCCAGGGGAGCAAACGGG
RNAcentral lists this ribosomal RNA (253 nucleotides) under uncultured bacterium. RNAcentral describes it as "partial 16S ribosomal RNA". It matches the Rfam family "Bacterial small subunit ribosomal RNA", at positions 524 to 776 of the family's 1533-position model. The record is from RNAcentral.